UGGGGAAUAUUUCACAAUGGAGGGAACUCUGAUGCAGCGACGCCGCGUGAGUGAUGAAGGAAUUCGUUUCGUAAAACUCUGUUCUAUGGGAAGAAAAGGACUGUACCAUAGGAGAAAGCUCCGGCUAAAUACGUGCCAGCAGCCGCGGUAAUACGUAUGGAGCGAGCGUUGUCCGGAAUUAUUGGGCGUAAAGGGUGCGCAGGCGGCUUUACAAGUUGGAUGUGAAAUAUUGUGGCUCAACCACAAACGUGCAUCCAAAACUGCAAAGCUUGAGUUAAGGAGAGGUAAGUGGAAUUCCUGGUGUAGCGGUGGAAUGCGUAGAUAUCAGGAGGAAUACCGGUGGCGAAGGCGACUUACUGGACUUAAACUGACGCUCAGGCACGAAAGCGUGGGGAGCAAACAGG
RNAcentral lists this ribosomal RNA (404 nucleotides) under Fusobacteriota bacterium. RNAcentral's name for it is "Fusobacteria bacterium partial 16S ribosomal RNA". It matches the Rfam family "Bacterial small subunit ribosomal RNA", at positions 355 to 776 of the family's 1533-position model. The record is from RNAcentral. Lineage: Bacteria; Fusobacteriati; Fusobacteriota.